This is a long non-coding RNA of Rhineura floridana, 589 nucleotides long. RefSeq lists it as uncharacterized. The transcript is spliced from 2 exons. The record is from RefSeq and is a predicted model, not a curated record. Lineage: Eukaryota; Metazoa; Chordata; Lepidosauria; Squamata; Rhineuridae.
UUCCCCACCUUUGCUUAAAAUUAACACACAUGAAAAUGUUCCCAAAUUAGACUGAACUGUCUACCUUUAGUUAAAGUAAUUACUUGAUGAGCCAGUUGUCUGUAACAUCCUGCAAGCAGCCAGGAGAGUUUCACCACAUAUCUGCACCCAAUCAAAAAUCCAGGGAAGCAAAGAAGCAGCAAAACCCUCCUCACCACUUUGCAAAAGACGUUUCCAUAUGAAAGAAGCCAGAUUUCAUUAGAAUGCUCUGUUUGGCUCAAAAGAACUGGUAAGCCUGAUGCAAACUGCACUGAAGGUCAUGUUCCCUAUACUUAAAACCAAGAAUCCCAGCUCUGGCUCUCAAUCAAUUUGAAAGUUGCUCAAGAUUCCUAAAAAUAUUGUUCUAGAGGUCAUACCUCAUCAUCCUGUAGAUCUUCUUCAAGCUGAAGAACAUUUUUCAAAGCAGCAGCAACGUAUUUCUUGCGCUUACAAAUGAAAUCCUUCUCCUCUGGACAUAGAUCAAAUCCCAAGCGCACAUCUAGGUCCUUCUGGCUAGAUGACACAGACUCACAUCAUAAAUCUGAGCAAAUAAAUACACCUACUAUAUGCA